GCAGCCUCCGCGGGAGCAUGCCGCCUCCCGCAGGGCCCGCCGCGAGCUUCCGGGGCCCAAGGAACCAGUCCGGAGGGGCGCAGGCGGUGGUCGCAGCGUCCCCCUAAAUGGCCGGCCACGAACCCGUCUCACGGUCCCGCGGCCAGGAGCCGCCGCUCAUCUGUCUCUGCAGCCACCGCUGAGGAAGAGUCUCCUCUGAGGGGAGAGUCGGUCAUGGCAGCAGACGCCGGGAUGGCUCCGCGACUGCUACACCAGGCACUCCUGGGCCCGGGCAGCAGACCAGUCAGCCCUGUGGCUCCUCGGCGACCUCCAGCGGGCGCCCGGGGCCGGGAUGCAGGGCGCGCGGACAGAAACGAGACAGACAGCUCAGGCCCAGCAGCACGCAAGCUCCCGCGCCUUCCGCGACUGCCACACGCGCGGCGCGCGCGCACCCUACUUUUUCUCCGCCACCUGGGCCGUGAUUGGGCGCGACCUGGGCUCCUGGGUGCUCAUUGGCGCCGUGAAGUGCUCGUCACCGCCCCCUCCUGCCCCUUCAUGCAUGCGCGGAGGCCGCCUGCUAGCAAGGUUCCCACGUAACAUCACAUCAGACCCAAGGGCCCGUUCAUUGCAAGGCGAAGGAGGCAUGACAAUGGCACGUGACCAUGGGAUCACUGGUCCUGUCACAUUCUGCACCACCCAGAAGAUACUGGCUUGAACGAAGAGAAGAAAUGGGCUGUUGAAGGCGUAGCUGAGAUGCCAGCUCAGAGACGAUGAUACCAAGUGCUGAACCUGAGAGCAGCCCCAGUACACUCCCUGCAUGGGAAUCUCCAUCUCAAAGUCAGCCUCCAGGGAGCCCGCCCUGAAACAGAUUCUGUCAUGGAACUCAACAGAGUAUCCUGGUGCGGAUAACCAGUGUUGGGAGUUAGAGCACGGACUCUCUCCACCUGCACGGUGCUGGAGCUCUGCACACCCCCUCUGCAGCCAUCCCUCGCCGCUGUCCCUUAGCUGACGCCCUUGCCCUCUGUGUGUCCUUCCUCAUGGCCUGCAGGUUUCAGAUCCCAAGCUACAGAUCAUGUCUUCUAGUCUGGGCUCUGGCAGAGAGUUCGGAAGCACUCUUAUUAUCUUAGCAGCAGCAUGUGUGGAAAUCAUUUCUCAUUACAGCGGAGGGCAGGCAUUGUGCAGAGGGUUAAGUGGGCCUGCUUGAAGUUGGUUGUUGUUAGCUCUCAUGUCUAUGCCUUGGUCCCUUUCCCCUCAGGACUUGGAGAGCAAGCUGUUUGAGUCUGAUGCAACCCCUGGGCUUUGACUAUCAUGCCAAAAGGCAGCAAAUAAGUGCCUUUUCUUCCCUUCAGAAUACAUGGACAAUCCAAAGCUCUAUUAGUCUAUUAUUCAGAAUGAAAAGUGUUUACAAUAUUCGUCCUCUUACUCCUCAGUAUGUGAGACUGUUCCUCGUAGCAGGUAAUUUCUUCCGAAUUCAAAAACUCCUCAUGGAAGCAUCUGUUUUUGUCAUCAAGGAGGGGGCUGUAUGUGGAAUUGCAAGGCCAAAGACAUCUCGGGUCAACUCUUCUCAGGACCAGAUCCAAGUCGCCAGUGAGAACACACAUUCAGGCAGCCUCCACCAGCGCCCUGCCUCAGGAGCGAGGCUCCCUGCUUCAUGUGGGCAAGAGCUGCCCUUGUUUUCCCAGCGGGCAGUUGGGGGUCUGGAGCCUAGGAAGCAAAGUGAAGCACACACUCCUGCUUCCUUCCUUCCCUGCAGUUGAGACGGGAGUCUUACUUUGUUGCCCAGGCUGGUCUCAAACUCCUGGCUUCAAGCAAUCCUUCCACUUUGGCCUUCCAAAGUGCUGGGAUUACAGGCAUGAGCCACCAUGCCCAGCCUCCUUCUCUUACUAGCUGAGAACUAAGAGAAGACACUCUGGAGACAGAGGAGGAAACAGUGACGAUGCCACAUGAUGAAUACAUAAUGGAGGGUGAAGACAAGGCUCCGUCAGGGGCACCAAGGAGGGAAACCCAGUUCUGUGGGGAAGGUAUGGGGCAGCUUCACAAGCCCAGUGUCUGCUCCCUUUGUGGGAGACGUGUUGUUUCAGCAUCCAUUCCCCCUUCUUUUAGGAAAAGUGCUUGAAUUUCCUUUUCAUGGAACCACCCACCUCCCUCUCAUCCAUGCAUUCUAUUCCCAGUAUCAGGGGUAGACAAGUGACUUCAGGCUUGGCCAAUUAGGGUUCUGACUCUUGGUCAAAUCAGAGUGAAUCCUGAGUCAUUUGUAAACUCCAAGGAAAGGGCUUGCUUUGUUUUCUGUUGAAUGCAGUGCUCUGAGAUAGCCGGAAAUGAAACUGCUCUCUUGCCACACUGAAGGCUAGAGAAGGGCCUGGCCAGGAAAUGAUGCCAGUGAUCAGGGGUGGAGCUGGAAGAGGGGGAGUGAGGAGGCCCAGACAUCUUGGGAGCCCCAAAUUCACCUCAGGAUUUAACUUCUCCGCUGCUCAGCCAAUAAAUUCCUUUCUUCCAUGACUAAAA
Molecule: long non-coding RNA, 2484 nt
Filed under: Homo sapiens (human)
Lineage: Eukaryota; Metazoa; Chordata; Mammalia; Primates; Hominidae
Description: STARD7 antisense RNA 1 (STARD7-AS1)
Source: RNAcentral